UACGGGGGGGGUAAGCGUUGUUCGGAAUUACUGGGCGUAAAGGGCGCGUAGGCGGCGCAACAAGUCACUUGUGAAAUCUCCGGGCUUAACUCGGAAAGGUCAAGUGAUACUGUUGUGCUAGAGUGCGGAAGGGGCAACUGGAAUUCUCGGUGUAGCGGUGAAAUGCGUAGAUAUCGAGAGGAACACCUGCGGCGAAGGCGGGUUGCUGGGCCGACACUGACGCUGAGACGCGAAAGCGUGGGGAGCGAACAGG
Molecule: ribosomal RNA, 253 nt
Filed under: uncultured bacterium
Lineage: Bacteria
Description: partial 16S ribosomal RNA
Rfam family: Bacterial small subunit ribosomal RNA
Source: RNAcentral